This 326-nucleotide unclassified non-coding RNA is filed under the name Pleurotaceae sp. RNAcentral's name for it is "partial contains small subunit ribosomal RNA, internal transcribed spacer 1, and 5.8S ribosomal RNA". The stretch from base 1 to 46 matches the Rfam family "Eukaryotic small subunit ribosomal RNA", at positions 1786 to 1831 of the family's 1831-position model. RNAcentral also lists the same sequence under 1 other name. The record is from RNAcentral. Lineage: Eukaryota; Fungi; Basidiomycota; Agaricomycetes; Agaricales; Pleurotaceae.
AAGUCGUAACAAGGUUUCCGUAGGUGAACCUGCGGAAGGAUCAUUAUUGAAUUCAACUCGCGAAGCUGUUGCUGGCUCCUCUGGGGCAUGUGCACGCUUCGAAAGUCAUUUCAACCACCUGUGAACCUUUUGUAGUCUUGGGUGACGCUACUUAUCAAAGGAAACUUUGGAUUUGAACGCUGCGGGCUUGCAAAAGUCGGCUUCGUUCUACAGCAGAACCCGGGUCUAUGCUUUAUAUACCCCAAUUGUAUGUCAUUGAAUGUGAUGCAAGGGCUUUCCAGCCUUUAAAUCAAAUACAACUUUCAGCAACGGAUCUCUUGGCUCUC